Apis cerana (Asiatic honeybee) is the source of this 1662-nucleotide long non-coding RNA. RefSeq lists it as uncharacterized. The record is from RefSeq and is a predicted model, not a curated record. NCBI's taxonomy places the organism in Eukaryota, Metazoa, Arthropoda, Insecta, Hymenoptera, Apidae.
GAUAUUGUUUCGCGAUGGUAUCGCGAUGCAACGCACGAUGGCCGAGCGCAGGUGAACGUGACAGGUGUCAAUUUCGAGGUGACCCCGGUGUGUGUCAAGGAAAUUUUGCUCGCCAUCGAGGUUAAAUUACGCGUGCUCCAGGUUCUUGGAUCCAGUGAUUCGAAUUCCAACUGGAAUACAUUCGACGUUAGUUAUUUGGAAAUUCGACGAAUUUAGAAUCGAUGUUUUUCGAAGAAUGGACGAAAAAAAAUUUGUCACCGAUGAAGUUGGCGGUGCAAACAGACCAAGUUCCCGUUUCCGGGGGAGAGAAAGUUAAAGGAUCACUAAUAUCGAAACGGUAUAGGGAAAAUUGGUGGACGUCGAAGGAAACUGUCCAACGCCGGUGUUGCGUUUCGAAGAGAAGAUGGCCGCUGUGAUCACGGACGCGAAUAUCCUUGGGACACGCUAUCAAAGAUUUGGAUACUUUCAAAGCAGUGAUGAUCGAGUCGAGUGAAAUAUUAUCGCUGUUUCAUCGACAAAAUUUUCGAAUAAUUUUAAUCCAAAGAAAAUUAUCGCUAUCGUUCCCUGUGACGAUCGAUAAUCGUAAAGAGGGAAGGUCGGCGCAAAAGAAAAAAGAAAAAAAAGAAAAAAGGAAAUAAAAAAGGAAAAUGACGGGACACGAUAAAUGUUGAAAUAACAGAAGAGAAUAAAGAUGCAAAAAGGUGAGGGGGCGGUUCAACGUUCCCCGGGAGCGUAAUAUAUCGCGCGAGUGCAACGAGAGACAGAGGCUGAGUCAUCGAUAUAACUUGACGCGCGCACACACAAGCGUGGAGCGCAUGGCCGCCACCACUACAAUCCCAUUCAUAAACAUAAAGGCCGACUUACGCACACCGACGCGCACGUGCGCCUAUUAAAGGACCGUAUGUAAAUGCGCGCACACGUGCGCCCGCGCACGUGUACCUGUGCGUCACUUUGCCGUGAACUUUCGCCUAGCUAGAGCUUUCCGACGAAUUUCAUUCAAAAGCUUCCACCUCUAAUCGUGGAAUGUGCAAAUUGCCAAGGAAUUGCUGCAAUUUACUUGCGGAAGAUUGAUUAUCCUUUUACGCGAGUUUUCUUUUUUUUAAUUAGGAACGAAAAUUCGUUUCGAAUUCCGCGGAUAAUGCACGAAUUUGUUCGAUGAUAAUGCAACAGAGAUAUAUAAAAUAUUUAUUAGAUAUUUAUUCGCGAGCAUUGUUGAGUCUAGAGAUUAAAACGUAAUUACAAAGUUGGUAUGCAAAAAUGUCGGUUAAGGUUAUUUGUUGAAGUUUGCGUUAAACGGAACGAGUGAAAUCGCUUUAUCUUCGCGCCGCUGUCGCAAUUCAUUACAUCUAACGCGAAUUUAUAAGUUAAUAAACAAGGUUUAAUCGACGUUUUCGCGUACCAUCUUUUCUAUUUAUUUAAAAUCGAUCCUCCACGGAAUCGUAUAUCCCACGAAUAUAUCAACACUCCGUGUAAUGGAUAAGUAUAUCGAGUACAAGUGAAUCGUAUUCACGAGUGAGUCUUGAACAUGAGAUACAUAAAAAUAUACUAUAUUUAUUAGAAAUACGUUCGUUUAUUAGAUUGAUGUUAGACAAAUGUCGAAUUAAUAAUAGUGGAGUGUAUUUAAAGAUCAUAGAAUCGUAAUAAAAGUUCGCUGACACGAAA